UAGGGAAUCUUCCACAAUGGGCGAAAGCCUGAUGGAGCAACGCCGCGUGAGUGAAGAAGGUUUUCGGAUCGUAAAACUCUGUUGGUAGAGAAGAACGUUGGUGAGAGUGGAAAGCUCAUCAAGUGACGGUAACUACCCAGAAAGGGACGGCUAACUACGUGCCAG
This 165-nucleotide ribosomal RNA is filed under the name uncultured bacterium. RNAcentral describes it as "partial 16S ribosomal RNA". It matches the Rfam family "Bacterial small subunit ribosomal RNA", at positions 355 to 511 of the family's 1533-position model. The record is from RNAcentral.